UCUGUUCCUCUUCGCCGCGCCGAGCCAGGUUCCGGGGUGGGGAGCGGAAUCUGGAUUUCAGCCUCAUUUCCAGGAUGGACUCGGAAAGCCGGCAAAGAUGAGCGAGCCGUUCGGAGGGCGGAAGGAGACCGUUCCUGGACGCAUCACACCUUUUAAAGGAGUUAUGUUUAGCCUCAAGGAAAUCAGAGGGGAAGCAGCCUUGCAAGGAGAGAGAAUCUUAGGACCUUGGUCACAUGCUAAAGACUCUGCACUCUUCCAGCGUCUGGCUCUUCUGGCUCCAGGGCCGGCUCUUUUCUACACUGAAAAUGGUUACAGCCCAAACUUCCUGUUUAGAUUAACUCUGGCUAGCCGAAGCCACAAAGGAGACAGGAAUGUCUGUCCCAGAAAGAGAGAGAAACAAGGAAGGUAUAACCCAAGCCAGGAUGCCAUCUUGAACUGAUUCUGAUUUUUGAACCAAGAACUCAUUUUUUAAUCUGAACCUGGAAACACUGAGAUAAUCUGCAUAACAGAUCAUCCGUGCCUUUCCUCAAGCGGUCAGCCGAAUUAAUCAAAGGGGUACCUCAUAGUGUCUCCUUUCUGACUUUGUUAUGGGCAAGAGUCUCUCAGCUCAGCCAUCCACAACUUGUCAUGUUGAUAUUCUGUUGCUCAGUUAAUCAUAGCAGCUGCUGUAUCUUUCUGGGGAAGUGUUCAUUCACCUUUGGAAGGAUUGGUGAUAACCCCAACACAGCCAAUUUCCAGACGUUGAUGAGCCCAGCCCCGGAAUUGCUGGAGUCCUCCCCACCUUGGAGACCAGCAGUAAGAGGGCCAGUGUUUCCAGACAGCCGGUUCCUCAUUCCCACUUGUGUUAGCUCACAGUGCUCAGAGGCCAAUGGGAAAAGAGGAGCCAAGAAGCAAUAAUAGUUCUGUGGGAUCUGUACAAAAAUAGACACGUCUACAAAGUAUGCGAGUGAGACAGGAUGGAAAGAGAGACAGAUGAACCUUCAGAAACCUCUAGAAAAGAGUCUCGGCUACUUCUAAAAAGCUGCUUCUACCUCGUGACUUUGUCUUUCCUCUUCAAUCAAAAUAUAGGAUCUCAAGUAUUCCAGCCUGGCUAUGAAUUCCCUAUGUACCUAUACAGAUAAAGGUGACUUUGAACUCUCCUCCUCCUGUGUACACUUGCCAAAUGAUGGGAUCAUACACAUGCACUACCACAUCUGGUUCAUGCAGCACUGGGAUGGAACCCAGGCUUACAAGUUAUGUGCAUGCUAGGCAAGCACUCUACCAAUCGAGGUACAUCCAUAUUUUUCCUUAACAUCUCUUGAGCAAGGUUCACUAUGCAGGUCAGGCUAGGUUUGAACUCAAGAUCCUCCUGCCUCAGCCUCCUAAGUGCUAGAUUAAGGGCAUAUACCACCACGUUUAGCACAUUUCUUUACCUAAAAAUAGUAGUUUCAUGAGGACUAAAUAAAAAGAUUCACAGAAAUUGCUAAAGCAUAGUGUGUGUGGUUAGAAGGGUUUGGUAAUGGUAACUCCUAAAUGAUUUAUGUAAUCAGUGACCUAUGCUUGGGAGAGACCCACACUGGAUACCAGGUAAACUACAACUCGGGAGCAGAUCUUUUUUCUCUGUAUAGAGUCCAGCAGCCAAAAUGGAAACUGAGCCUUGCCCGUAUUAGGCAACGGGGAGAACCAACCUAGAUGCAAACUGUACAAAGAUUUCCCAGGCCAAGAGUCGUGUUGCAAAGCCCGAGCGAGGAUCAGCGUCAGUACAAUCAGAUGAAUAACACAUUCAUGAAGUGUUUGGAUAAGACUUGGCAUUGCUUGUUUCUCCUAAGGACACUUCAGGAUGACCUACUUCUUCCUCUUUGUUUUCAUGUCUGUCGCCUUGUCCUUCCAAAUCUGCGUUCUGUACUUCCUCAUCAGCCAUUUCUACAACCAAGUAGCGUUGGCCAGCAUCACCCAUCCUGUUUCCAUGCUGUCCUGAGAAGUAGUCUAAGUGGGUCACCGUGGAGAAGAGCCGAGUGUUGCCCCCCCCCCCC
Peromyscus californicus insignis is the source of this 2012-nucleotide long non-coding RNA. RefSeq lists it as uncharacterized. The record is from RefSeq and is a predicted model, not a curated record. The transcript is spliced from 4 exons. Lineage: Eukaryota; Metazoa; Chordata; Mammalia; Rodentia; Cricetidae.